CCCUUAGAUGUCCUGGGCCGCACGCGCGUUACACUGAUGCAUUCAACGAGCUUAUAACCUUGGCCGAGAGGCCUGGGCAAUCUUGUUAACGUGCAUCGUGAUAGGGAUAGAUUAUUGAAAUUAUUAAUCUUGAACGAGGAAUUCCUAGUAAACGCAGAUCAUCAAUCUGCAUUGAUUACGUCCCUGCCCUUUGUACACACCGCCCGUCGCACCUACCGAUUGGAUGGUCCGGUGAAGCCUCGGGAUUGUGGUUCUUGCCGCUUUAUUGUGGCGUGACCGCGAGAACUUGUCUAAACCUUAUUAUCUAGAGGAAGGUGAANUCGUAACA
RNAcentral lists this ribosomal RNA (328 nucleotides) under uncultured eukaryote. RNAcentral describes it as "partial 18S ribosomal RNA". It matches the Rfam family "Eukaryotic small subunit ribosomal RNA", at positions 1470 to 1796 of the family's 1831-position model. The record is from RNAcentral.